Molecule: small RNA, 95 nt
Rfam family: Flavo-1 RNA
ACUGCGCUAAGGAUAGUAACGACAUCCUUUUGACAACUCAUAGGUAUUAUAACCUAUGAGUUUUUCAAAAGAUAUAGUGGAUAGCCUGCCGCUGC